This 492-nucleotide ribosomal RNA is filed under the name uncultured bacterium. Its description in RNAcentral is "partial 16S ribosomal RNA". It matches the Rfam family "Bacterial small subunit ribosomal RNA", at positions 28 to 507 of the family's 1533-position model. The record is from RNAcentral.
GAUGAACGCUAGCAACAGGCUUAACACAUGCAAGUCGAGGGGAAACGACAUCGAAAGCUUGCUUUUGAUGGGCGUCGACCGGCGCACGGGUGAGUAACGCGUAUCCAACCUGCCCAUCACUUGGGAAUAACCUUGCGAAAGUAAGACUAAUACCCAAUGAUAUCCCACGAAGGCAUCGGAAUGGGAUUAAAGAUUUAUCGGUGAUGGAUGGGGAUGCGUCUGAUUAGCUUGUUGGCGGGGUAACGGCCCACCAAGGCAACGAUCAGUAGGGGUUCUGAGAGGAAGGUCCCCCACAUUGGAACUGAGACACGGUCCAAACUCCUACGGGAGGCAGCAGUGAGGAAUAUUGGUCAAUGGGCGAGAGCCUGAACCAGCCAAGUAGCGUGCAGGAAGACGGCCCUAUGGGUUGUAAACUGCUUUUAGAAGGGAAUAAAGUGGGUCACGUGUGACUUUUUGCAUGUACCUUAUGAAUAAGGACCGGCUAAUUCCGUG